AUAGAUUUGAUGAGAGAUCUGUCACUAGGGAGAUUUUCAGAGAUCUAAAAUGAUGACACCAACUGGCAAUCUAAGCAAUAGUGGAGAGGCUACCUUAAAUGCCCUCCCUUGAUAAUGAGAUUGAUGACUACCUCAUAUGUCAUCCUAAAGCCUUCAUCUAGGGGAAGACACCCACAGAUAAACACUGAACUGAACUUCUGGAACCCAGUUGCAAAGAGGGAGGCAUGAAGAGCAAAAGGGUCAAGACCCAGCUGCUGAAACCCACAGAAAUAGCUGACCUGAACAAGGGGUGCUCAUGGAUCUCAGACUGAUGGCUGAGAAGCCAGCAUGGGACUGACCCAUACUCCCUGAACAUGGGUGCCACUGAGGAGGCCUUGGCAAUCUAUGGGGCCUCUGGCAGUGGAUCAGUAUUUGUCCUUGGUGCAUGAAUGGACUUUGGGAGGCCAUUCCAUGUGGAGGGAUGCUCUCUCAGCCUGGACACAUGGAGGAGGGGCUAAGCCCUGCCAUGGAUGACAUGAUAGAUUUUGGGGAUCUCCCAAAGAAGGGUCUCACACUCCCUGGGAACCAGAGGGGCAUGGGAAAGAUGGAAGAAGAGAAGCUGCCUGAGAGUUCAAUGUCACCCCAAAAGAAACCAAAGCUAGCUGAAAUCAAGAGAAAGAAACGUGUUAGAUCAGUCUUACCCCACCAAAGGGACAGGCAAAGAAAACCCUCUUCCUCUCAAAAUGCAGAUGAGGAGAUGUUCAAAUGUGAAUGUCACUGCUGCCAGAAGUAUGUGGGAAACACGUCUGGAAUGUCUGCGGGGACCAGGACAGAAGCAACCUCUCCUUCACCCUCCUUAUAAAAGCUGACAUUAGAUCCCAGUGUCUUAACACUCAACCCAAGUACCACCCAGACCCUCUUAUGCAAGAAAGAACACAGAAAAUAGAAAAUGACAAUGUGCAUUGCAAACUGAGAAGCGAAAGGAUAUUUUUUUUUAUUAGUUCAAAUUAGGAACAAGCUUGCUUCACAUGUUAAUCCCUUCUCCCUCUCUCUCCCCUUCCCUCAACCUCCCCCUACUCUAUUUCCCCUCCGCUCCCCAGGGAGGGUAGGGCCCUCCAUGGAGGCUCCCCAAAGUCCACCACAUCAUCCUGGGCCAGGCCUAGGCCCCCCCAAUGUGUCCAGGCCAAGAGAGAAUCCCUUCAUGUGGGAUGGGCUCUCAAAGACCCUUCUUACACCAGGGAAAAAUAUUGAUCUUCUACUACUAGAGGCCCCAUAGAGUGUAGAGGCCUCCUCAUUGACAUCCAUGUUCAGGGCUCUGGAUCAGUCUCGUUCUGGCCUCCCAGACAGCAGUCUGGGGUCCAUGUGCUCCCCCUUGUUCAAGUCAGCUGGCGAAAGGGUAUUUAAAAGGCUCUCCAGGAAUGGACAGAAUGACUGUGGACUUAUCAACCUCCUUUCAAUAAGAUCAGAGCCUACAGGAUCAUGAAUCUUUUUGGGAGCAUGGUUAGGAGGAGUACCAAUGUCCAGUCUGGUGAUAAUAACACCAUCACAUGGAGAGACUCCAACCUAUUCUAGAAAUGUUGCAUUCCUUUCCUUAGUAUUUUUGGCAUCCUUCCUGGGACAUUCUGGGCAGAGCAGCUCCCAGGCAAGGGCAAGCACAUAGCGAUGGUUCUAUCUUCCCCAUACUGUUGUUCCCAUGGGUGAGCUAACAUUUUCCUCUCCUCAGGUUUUGACUUUUCCUUCCUUCCUUUUUUGCUGUUUUCAAAAUUGCUUCCGUUCCAUUUUAUUUACUGGAGCUAGAAGGAACACUAGGUCUGGUGGAGGUGUGUGUGUGUGUGUGUGUGUGUGUGUGUGUGUGUGUGUGUGUGUGUGUGCACUUGAAAUUUUUGUUUCAAAGCUUUUUGUUUUGUGAUAUUUUGUUUCUGCUGGGACAAAUCAAGCUUGCUGGAGAUCAGUUGGCCCAGCUAGGUAGUACUUAACCAUAGAAGCUAGGUGGUGGAAGCUCAAACUUAAUUCCAGCACUUGGGAGGUGGAGACAGGAAGUGACAAGGUAGGGUGAAGACAGGUUCACAGUCCUUUUGAUCAGAGGAUCCUGGGCGGUUCAUUAUAGUUAUGCUUCACUAAACCAUUGGAGAUACAGAAGAAUGAGAAUAUAUCAAGCAUUCUUCAUCUAAUUCUUCCCCAUGACAGUUUACCUUACUCCUUAUAUAACUAUAUAACACUUCAAGUAUACGGCACUAACACUGGCAUAAUGGG
Molecule: long non-coding RNA, 2232 nt
Filed under: Cricetulus griseus (Chinese hamster)
Lineage: Eukaryota; Metazoa; Chordata; Mammalia; Rodentia; Cricetidae
Description: lncRNA (ENSCGRG00015038463.1)
Source: RNAcentral